ACACACACACACAUACACACACACAAAAGGACCAGGAACUGAACUCUGAACUCAAUUUCAUACUCCUCGACUUAAAGGAGCAUUGAGCUGAAGUGUCAGCUCACAGGGACAUUUUCCUUUCCUUUUAUUAUUGAAAGAGCUCUAUUUUUGUUUUAUUGUAUUUUCAUUCUUGGUACAUUAUAGUACUGUGUUCAUUGUUGUGUCCCCUAAUGUAAUAAAACUGUCAACUGUUCAACUCAUUACUAACUCUUUUGUGAGUCACUCAAGGCAGACCACACCCCGGACCUAGAUAGAUGUUAGUUGCCCUGUUCUAGUAUUGGUUAGCACUAGGGGGCGCUACAUGUGGAAGUCACAAGUAAGUCUCAAGU
This is a long non-coding RNA of Cyprinus carpio (common carp), 368 nucleotides long. Lineage: Eukaryota; Metazoa; Chordata; Actinopteri; Cypriniformes; Cyprinidae. The record is from Ensembl.